GUAAUAGAAAUCCAUGUCCUACAGAGGCAGAAUUUAAAACUUGUUGUCCUCUUGCCUAAUAGGCAAAGAAUGACCUCUAUAGAAAGACUGAUUCAUUCAGAUCGAUAUGAGGACCCAACUCCGUUGCAUUGCCAGAAUCAUGUUCUAUAUUCAAAGCGGGUUGAUCUCUGUGCUUCUCUCAUGGUACAAUCCUCUUCCUGCUGA
Molecule: ribosomal RNA, 204 nt
Filed under: Triticum aestivum (bread wheat)
Lineage: Eukaryota; Viridiplantae; Streptophyta; Magnoliopsida; Poales; Poaceae
Description: partial small subunit ribosomal RNA
Source: RNAcentral